AGUUUUGCCUAGAAGCAGUCUCAUAGCCAAUGAGGUUCAUCCAAGGCAUGAUUAUUGCUAAUUGAAAACUUUCCCCAGAGUUAGUCAUUUAUUAGUCAUUUAUUUCAUUUUUUAAAGAAA
This 120-nucleotide small nuclear RNA is filed under the name Suricata suricatta (meerkat). Its description in RNAcentral is "U4 spliceosomal RNA (ENSSSUG00005008145.1)". It matches the Rfam family "U4 spliceosomal RNA". Rfam says of the family: U4 small nuclear RNA (U4 snRNA) is a component of the major U2-dependent spliceosome. The structure of U4 snRNA from yeast and human has been reported. The record is from Rfam by way of RNAcentral. Lineage: Eukaryota; Metazoa; Chordata; Mammalia; Carnivora; Herpestidae.